CAGUCGCCACGGGAAUACGUAGGGUGCAAGCGUUGUCCGGAAUCAUUGGGCGUAAAGCGCGCGUAGGUGGCCAUUUAAGUCCGCUGUGAAAGUCAAAGGCUCAACCUUUGAAAGCCGGUGGAUACUGGAUGGCUAGAGUACGGAAGAGGCGAGUGGAAUUCCUGGUGUAGCGGUGGAAUGCGCAGAUAUCAGGAGGAACACCAAUAGCGAAGGCAGCUCGCUGGGACGUUACUGACACUGAGGCGCGAAAGCGUGGGGAGCGAACAGGAUUAGAUACCCCUGUAGUCCCUGUCUCUUAUAC
RNAcentral lists this ribosomal RNA (301 nucleotides) under uncultured bacterium. RNAcentral describes it as "partial 16S ribosomal RNA". It matches the Rfam family "Bacterial small subunit ribosomal RNA", at positions 509 to 807 of the family's 1533-position model. The record is from RNAcentral.